UAGCUAUGAUAAUAAAGCCAGGUCCACCAAUCAGCUAUCAGCUUUGAUAAGGCCAAGAAACGAUUACAAACCUAUCAGAGGCCGGAUUUCCGUUAAUUUCAACCCCAUCGGUUGGUCGCCUUGUUCAAUAUAAGUAGCUGAAACCUCUCGUAACUUCAGACAGAAUCAUCGGCGCGUCCAGUCAUUCGAAUACCUCGUUCCUCAACAACACAACGAACCAAAUUCCACARAAAUGAAACUUCAAACUUACUGCCAUUAUAUGGGGCUUUUUCUAACAUUAGUUGUUGGGAUGAACUGGUGCUUUGCAGGCGUUCAURGUGGAGCACUGAGAAUGAAGCGUCGACCACCAACUCCGGAUGAAACGCCCGGCGUUUCAGCGUGGCGUCAAUGGUUUUCAGGGCGUAGGGAAUUUCACAAAGACUCCGACACAAAUUUAAAGAAAGACGAAUUUAACCUUCCAUGGUACGAAAACAAAGAAGACGAGGCAAGAUUCCGAACAAGCUAAAAUUGUAAAUUUUAUUUCCAUCCACCGCGAAUGAUAUAAUAAUACGUUAACUUAAAACACAAUGUAUUUUUAAAUAAAAUCAAAUGUUAAUAAGCAAAAAAUGUAGCGCGAUUUCUAUUCUUGAUAUGUUGGCUCUCUGCGUUAAAAUCAAGAUGUCRUGAAGUAGAAUAUAGAUGAAAAUAAAAUGAACCCAUUUCUGCAUCCA
This is a long non-coding RNA of Actinia tenebrosa (Australian red waratah sea anemone), 710 nucleotides long. RefSeq lists it as uncharacterized. Lineage: Eukaryota; Metazoa; Cnidaria; Anthozoa; Actiniaria; Actiniidae. The record is from RefSeq and is a predicted model, not a curated record.